Molecule: ribosomal RNA, 484 nt
Filed under: uncultured bacterium
Lineage: Bacteria
Description: bacterial SSU rRNA
Rfam family: Bacterial small subunit ribosomal RNA
Source: RNAcentral
GAUGAACGCUAGCGGCAGGCUUAAUACAUGCAAGUCGAGGGGCAUCAAGGUACACGAAAGUGUAUUGUUGGCGACCGGCGGACGGGUGAGUAAUAGGUAGGUAACCUACCUCAUACUGAGGCAUAGCUGGGAGAAAUUCCAGGUAAUUCCUCAUGAGGUUAUAUGACACAUGUGAUAUAAUCAAAGGUAUCGCAAGGUACUGGUAUGAGAUGGGCUUACUGACCAUUAGCUAGUUGGUGAGAUAAGAGCUCACCAAGGCGAAGAUGGUUAGGGGUUUUGAGAGAGAGAUCCCCCCACAUUGGAACUGAGAUACGGUCCAGACUCCUACGGGAGCAGCAGUAGGGAAUAUUGGGCAAUGAGCGGAAGCCUGACCCAGCCAUGCCGCGUGAAGGAAGACGGCCUUAUGGGUUGUAAACUUCUUUACUAUGCGACUAACUAGAUUUACGAGAUAAUUCUAUAGAAUGUAGCAUAGCAAAAGCACCGG